This is a long non-coding RNA of Bos taurus (domestic cattle), 274 nucleotides long. Lineage: Eukaryota; Metazoa; Chordata; Mammalia; Artiodactyla; Bovidae. The record is from Ensembl.
GCAGUGCCUCAGAUAUCAGGCGGGACUCGGGCCAGCUGGAGCCAGAGCUGGAGACUUCGCGGGACAGAUUACACCAGCCCUAGGCUGAGAAGAAACUGAACUGAACUGUCCUUUGGAUACUGCCAGACGACACCCGCGGGAGCCGCGGCCCAGAGACCCGCCCGGGCGACAGCGACUGGAGCGGAGCCCACAGGCCCGGGCCGGCUAGGCGGCGCGAGCAGGAAGCGGGGUCCCUGGGCCCCUUUGUGUGAAGGGCGAAGGAGGGGUGCGGGGC